Long non-coding RNA from Brassica oleracea var. oleracea, 506 nucleotides. RefSeq lists it as uncharacterized. The record is from RefSeq and is a predicted model, not a curated record. Lineage: Eukaryota; Viridiplantae; Streptophyta; Magnoliopsida; Brassicales; Brassicaceae. The transcript is spliced from 3 exons.
GCAUUGCUUAAGUGAUGAAGGUUUAAUAGACGUAAGCCAAGACUCAAGUCCCCAGUGGCUAAUCAAGUCUCAAGAAAUGGAAACUGAUGAUCCUAAGAUUUAUAAUGAAAAGAUCGGAUAUCACGAGAAGUUACAGAGUUUAAAUACUAUCAUGGCUGUCUAGAUGAUUGUAGAGUUCGUCAUGUAUACAUCGAUCUCCAGAUUGUUAUACCUGGUCUCCUCCAACAGGGCUUCAAAUUGGCAUGAAUUUUCCAGAAGAGUACUUGUGGUUGCAAAAAUUCAUUGGCAUUAAGACAGCAAAGUACUUUGGAUAACGCAAAUCCAAAGCAAUUGUGGAUUUCAGGUCUUUUACUUCUUUUGCUGGUUUAUGUCAUGGAGCAAGCCUUUCUUCACUCUGGAUUCCUAUUUAUCUGGUAGAUUUGGCUGCAAAGACAGCACCUGUCCAGCCAACUUGUGCCGAGAGCUCUGCAGAGGAAAACCUGGUUCUAGCAGUAGGGAGUGCACUC